RNAcentral lists this ribosomal RNA (245 nucleotides) under uncultured bacterium. RNAcentral's name for it is "partial 16S ribosomal RNA". It matches the Rfam family "Bacterial small subunit ribosomal RNA", at positions 524 to 768 of the family's 1533-position model. The record is from RNAcentral.
GACAGAGGGUGCAAACGUUGUUCGGAAUCACUGGGCGUAAAGCGUGUGUAGGCGGCCACGUCAGUCGGAUGUGAAAGCCCCGGGCUCAACCCGGGAAGUGCACCCGAUACUGCGUGGCUCGAGUGUCGGAGAGGUUGGUGGAAUUCCCGGUGUAGAGGUGAAAUUCGUAGAUAUCGGGAGGAACACCUGUGGCGAAGGCGGCCAACUGGACGAACACUGACGCUGAGACACGAAAGCGUGGGGAG